Molecule: non-coding RNA, 380 nt
Organism: Camelina sativa (false flax)
Lineage: Eukaryota; Viridiplantae; Streptophyta; Magnoliopsida; Brassicales; Brassicaceae
Source: RefSeq, a predicted model, not a curated record
CUUCGGCUUCGACGAAGAGCUCUCUCAAGAGCUGAGCUCUUUUCUCUCUCUCAGCUUCAAUGAAGCUUUGUUCUCUCAGAAUCUCUCAUCGCUUCAUCGUUUCAUUGUCUCUCUCGUUCAUCUCUCAUCGCUUCAUCGUUUUGUCGCUUAGUAACUCUGAAUAUGUUCAUUGGUUUUGCAUGAAAUAUUUAGAAGUUGGAUGAUUACACAGAUUCUUUCCCAUUCCAAGCCAAAAGUGAUUCCUCUGCUUCAAUCAUGUUCUUGAGCAGUUCAGCUUCUUUCCUAACUUUAUUGUGUUUCUCUCUCCGCAAUCACAAGUAUUUAUUGUACAAACUUAUAAAAAAUUGUUAUAUAUAAUUUACAAAUAAUUUACACUGGCA